Molecule: ribosomal RNA, 452 nt
Filed under: Streptococcus mitis
Lineage: Bacteria; Bacillati; Bacillota; Bacilli; Lactobacillales; Streptococcaceae
Description: bacterial SSU rRNA
Rfam family: Bacterial small subunit ribosomal RNA
Source: RNAcentral
GACGAACGCUGGCGGCGUGCCUAAUACAUGCAAGUAGAACGCUGAAGGAGGAGCUUGCUUCUCUGGAUGAGUUGCGAACGGGUGAGUAACGCGUAGGUAACCUGCCUGGUAGCGGGGGAUAACUAUUGGAAACGAUAGCUAAUACCGCAUAAGAGUAGAUGUUGCAUGACAUAUGCUUAAAAGGUGCAAUUGCAUCACUACCAGAUGGACCUGCGUUGUAUUAGCUAGUUGGUGAGGUAACGGCUCACCAAGGCAACGAUACAUAGCCGACCUGAGAGGGUGAUCGGCCACACUGGGACUGAGACACGGCCCAGACUCCUACGGGAGGCAGCAGUAGGGAAUCUUCGGCAAUGGACGGAAGUCUGACCGAGCAACGCCGCGUGAGUGAAGAAGGUUUUCGGAUCGUAAAGCUCUGUUGUAAGAGAAGAAACGAGUGUGAGAGUGGAAAGGUC